This 71-nucleotide transfer RNA is filed under the name Alligator mississippiensis (American alligator). It matches the Rfam family "tRNA". From Rfam's summary of the family: Transfer RNA (tRNA) molecules are approximately 80 nucleotides in length. Their secondary structure includes four short double-helical elements and three loops (D, anti-codon, and T loops). Further hydrogen bonds mediate the characteristic L-shaped molecular structure. tRNAs have two regions of fundamental functional importance: the anti-codon, which is responsible for specific mRNA codon recognition, and the 3' end, to which the tRNAs corresponding amino acid is attached (by aminoacyl-tRNA synthetases). tRNAs cope with the degeneracy of the genetic code in two manners: having more than one tRNA (with a specific anti-codon) for a particular amino acid; and 'wobble' base-pairing, i.e. permitting non-standard base-pairing at the 3rd anti-codon position. Lineage: Eukaryota; Metazoa; Chordata; Crocodylia; Alligatoridae. The record is from Rfam by way of RNAcentral.
UCCAUGGUGGUCUAGUGGUUAGGAUUUGGUACUCUCACUGCUAUGGCCUGGGUUCAAUCCUGGUCAGCGAA